This 392-nucleotide unclassified non-coding RNA is filed under the name Hevea brasiliensis (rubber tree). The record is from RNAcentral. Lineage: Eukaryota; Viridiplantae; Streptophyta; Magnoliopsida; Malpighiales; Euphorbiaceae.
AUUGACGAUUUGUUUGAAGCUGCUAAGGACCGGCAUUCUGUGGAAGAUAUAACUAAUUUUUGUCUAGGGUUGUACAAAUAGCGAUUUGACUUAGAACCGGACCAAUUAAACUGAAAACUGAAAUCCUUAAAAACAAAAAUAAAUCGAAAUUGAUGAUAUAGAACUAACCGAAUCGAAAUAAUCGGUUUGAUUCAAUUCGAUUUAAAGUAAACCGAAUUUUCCAAAACUCUCCCAAAUCACAAAUCCUCAGCAAACUCAUCAAUCCAUUAAUCCCCCCAAAUUGCAAAUUCUUAAAAACCAAUCAAAAUGCAGAAACCCAGUGCAAUAAACAAUUCCGUUCGGUCAAUGGAGGGCACAUAAUUUAUUCUUGAUAUUUUUUUGGUAUAAUUAAU